RNAcentral lists this ribosomal RNA (292 nucleotides) under uncultured bacterium. RNAcentral's name for it is "partial 16S ribosomal RNA". It matches the Rfam family "Bacterial small subunit ribosomal RNA", at positions 505 to 796 of the family's 1533-position model. The record is from RNAcentral.
GUGUCAGCCGCCGCGGUAAUACAGAGGUCCCAAGCGUUGUUCGGAUUCACUGGGCGUAAAGGGUGCGUAGGUGGCGGGGUAAGUUCGAUGUGAAAUCUCUGGGCUCAACCCAGAAAUGGCAUUGAAUACUAUCUCGCUUGAGGGUCGGAGGGGAGACUGGAAUUCUCGGUGUAGCAGUGAAAUGCGUAGAUAUCGAGAGGAACACCAGUGGCGAAGGCGAGUCUCUGGACGACUCCUGACACUGAGGCACGAAAGCUAGGGGAGCAAACAGGAUUAGAUACCCCCGUAGUCC